GUCUCAGGCGUAUCAGCCUGAAGGCGCCCGAUCUCGUCUGAUCUCGGAAGCUAAGCAGGGUCGGGCCUGGUUAGUAUCUUGGAUGGGAGACCACCUGGGAAUCCGGUUGCUCGAGGCU
This 118-nucleotide ribosomal RNA is filed under the name Bos grunniens (domestic yak). Lineage: Eukaryota; Metazoa; Chordata; Mammalia; Artiodactyla; Bovidae. The record is from RNAcentral.